GGUCGCGGGAAUUCGAUUAGAGUUUGAUCCUGGCUCAGGAUGAACGCUGGCGGUAUGCCUAACACAUGCAAGUCGAACGGAGUUCUUCGGAACUUAGUGGCGGACGGGUGAGUAACACGUGAGAACCUACCUUCAGAAUGGGGACAACAGUCGGAAACGACUGCUAAUACCCAAUGCGCCGAAAGGUGAAAGAUUUAUCGUCUGAAGAUGGGCUCGCGUCUGAUUAGCUAGAUGGUGGGGUAAGAGCCUACCAUGGCAACGAUCAGUAGCUGGUCUGAGAGGAUGAGCAGCCACACUGGGAUUGAGACGCGGCCCAGACUCCUACGGGAGGCAGCAGUGGGGAAUUUUCCGCAAUGGGCGAAAGCCUGACGGAGCAAUACCGCGUGAGGGAGGAAGGUCCUUGGAUUGUAAACCUCUUUUAUCAGGGAAGAAGCUCUGACGGUACCUGAUGAAUAAGCAUCGGCUAACUCCGUGCCAGCAGCCGCGGUAAUACGGAGGAUGCAAGCGUUAUCCGGAAUUAUUGGGCGUAAAGCGUCCGUAGGUGGUUAUGCAAGUCUGCCGUUAAAGAAUGGAGCUUAACUCCAUAGGAGCGGUGGAAACUGCAAGACUAGAGUACAGUAGGGGUAGCAGGAAUUCCCAGUGUAGCGGUGAAGUGCGUAGAUAUUGGGAAGAACAUCGGUGGCGAAAGCGUGCUACUGGGCUGAAACUGACACUGAGGGACGAAAGCUAGGGUAGCGAAAGGGAUUAGAUACCCCUGUAGUCCUAGCCGUAAACGAUG
RNAcentral lists this ribosomal RNA (778 nucleotides) under uncultured Synechocystis sp. RNAcentral describes it as "bacterial SSU rRNA". It matches the Rfam family "Bacterial small subunit ribosomal RNA", at positions 1 to 811 of the family's 1533-position model. Lineage: Bacteria; Bacillati; Cyanobacteriota; Cyanophyceae; Synechococcales; Merismopediaceae. The record is from RNAcentral.